AUGAACGCUGGCGGCGUGCCUAAUACAUGCAAGUCGAGCGAACAGACGAGGAGCUUGCUCCUCUGACGUUAGCGGCGGACGGGUGAGUAACACGUGGAUAACCUACCUAUAAGACUGGGAUAACUUCGGGAAACCGGAGCUAAUACCGGAUAAUAUAUUGAACCGCAUGGUUCAAUAGUGAAAGACGGUUUUGCUGUCACUUAUAGAUGGAUCCGCGCCGCAUUAGCUAGUUGGUAAGGUAACGGCUUACCAAGGCGACGAUGCGUAGCCGACCUGAGAGGGUGAUCGCCACACUGGAACUGAGACACGGUCCAGACUCCUACGGGAGGCAGCAGUAGGGAAUCUUCCGCAAUGGGCGAAAGCCUGACGGAGCAACGCCGCGUGAGUGAUGAAGGUCUUCGGAUCGUAAAACUCUGUUAUUAGGGAAGAACAAAUGUGUAAGUAACUAUGCACGUCUUGACGGUACCUAAUCAGAAAGCCACGGCUAACUACGUG
RNAcentral lists this ribosomal RNA (495 nucleotides) under uncultured bacterium. Its description in RNAcentral is "partial 16S ribosomal RNA". It matches the Rfam family "Bacterial small subunit ribosomal RNA", at positions 29 to 507 of the family's 1533-position model. The record is from RNAcentral.